AUUGAACGCUGGCGGCAUGCUUUACACAUGCAAGUCGAACGGCAGCGCGGGCUUCGGCCUGGCGGCGAGUGGCGAACGGGUGAGUAAUGCAUCGGAACGUGCCCAGUAGUGGGGGAUAGCCCGGCGAAAGCCGGAUUAAUCCCGCAUACGACCUGAGGGUGAAAGCGGGGGACAGAAAGGCCUCGCGCUAUUGGAGCGGGCGAUGUCGGAUUAGCUAGUUGGUGGGGUAAAGGCUUACCAAGGCGACGAUCCGUAGCUGGUCUGAGAGGACGACCAGCCACACUGGGACUGAGACACGGCCCAGACUCCUACGGGAGGCAGCAGUGGGGAAUUUUGGACAAUGGGGGCAACCCUGAUCCAGCCAUGCCGCGUGCGGGAAGAAGGCCUUCGGGUUGUAAACCGCUUUUGUUCGGGAAGAAAUCCUCUGGGCUAAUACCCCGGGGGGAUGACGGUACCGGAAGAAUAAGCACCGGCUAACUACGUG
This 484-nucleotide ribosomal RNA is filed under the name uncultured bacterium. RNAcentral describes it as "partial 16S ribosomal RNA". It matches the Rfam family "Bacterial small subunit ribosomal RNA", at positions 28 to 507 of the family's 1533-position model. The record is from RNAcentral.